UACGGAGGUGGCAAGCGUUGCUCGGAAUUACUGGGCGUAAAGGGCGCGUAGGCGGCCACCUAAGUCAGACGUGAAAUCCCUCGGCUCAACCGGGGAACUGCGUCUGAUACUGGGCGGCUUGAAUUCGGGAGAGGAAUGCGGAAUUCCAGGUGUAGCGGUGAAAUGCGUAGACAUCUGGAGGAACACCGGUGGCGAAGGCGGCAUUCUGGACCGACAUUGACGCUGAGGCGCGAAAGCCAGGGGAGCAAACGGG
This 253-nucleotide ribosomal RNA is filed under the name uncultured bacterium. RNAcentral's name for it is "partial 16S ribosomal RNA". It matches the Rfam family "Bacterial small subunit ribosomal RNA", at positions 524 to 776 of the family's 1533-position model. The record is from RNAcentral.